Long non-coding RNA from Homo sapiens (human), 2681 nucleotides. Lineage: Eukaryota; Metazoa; Chordata; Mammalia; Primates; Hominidae. The record is from Ensembl.
UGAGAAUCAAUUUGUGAGGCAGGAAACCUGCUAGCAGGACUCUCGCUUUGCUGAGUUAAUUUUUCCUUUUUCCUUUCCACCCAAUAAGUUCCAUUUUCCUCACCCUUCUAUGUAUCCACAAGCCUAAUCAUUCCUGGUUGUGUGACAAGAGGCCAGUUUUAGCUGAACUAAGGAGAAAGUUCUGCAACAUUUUUGGCAUCCAGAUAUGGGGCUCGAGGAAAGGAACCUGUAGGAGGAUGUGAGACAGCACCUCGGGGCACAGAUGGCAGGCAGAGCCCCAGACUCGGAAACUGGAAGUAGUUCUCCAGGGUUGAUUUUAGGAGCAGAAGACCACAGCCUGAACUUGAUUAUCAUCUUGGCAGCUACAGACACUGUUCCAUCAUUAUCAAGUAUUCAGUGCGAUAGCUGAGAAAUCUGAGACCAUUCUAAUCUUCAUUAUAUUGGUACAAGAAAGGUGAUUAUAAACAUUUACAUUUGUAGUUGGGGAUGAAAGAUUUGAACUGUGCCUACCAGAGGGUCCUGAUCUGAAAAGAGGGUGAUAAUAGAAUACAGUAUGAGACAUUUCUGUUGAUGGGUAAGAAUCAUCACUCUGAAACAAGGCUGCCUGAAUCUGGAUCCUGGCUCUACCGCUUUCCAGCAACAUUGUGAGGAUUCAGCAAGUCUAGAAUUAUAAUCCCUAAUAUUUAUUUUUUAAGUAAAGGAUGGGAUGUCUGCUAAUUUCAAGUCAGCACCAAACUGGUUCUGGAGGCUGUGAAGUCUGAGGUCAAUGGCCCACAUCUGGUGAAGGCCUGCUCGCUAGUGAGGACUCUCUGGAGAGUUCCAAAUUGGCACAUAGCAUCAUAUGGCUUGAACUGAAUAAUUUGUUCUUGGCUCUUGAGCCUGCUGGCUUUUGGACUGGAACUUGAACUAUUAGCAAUCCUGGUACUCAGGGCUUUGGACUUGAACUGGAUUACUCUAUCGGUUCUCCUGGCUCUCCAGUGGGCCAACUACGGAUCUUAGGACUUCUCAGUCUCAAUAAUCAUGUUUCUCUCACAUCGACAUAGAAACUCUGCUGACAUUGAUGACUUGCCUGGUGGUGUGAUACAGAUGAUCAUUCAUGAAGGGUCUGAGCCCCUUGCUACUACACCCUGUUCAGGCCUGGAUUGCUGCAUGUAUUAUGACAAUGGAAAUUGAGUACCAAAGAAACAUCCUAGAGGCUUAACUGGGGACCACACAUAGUCCUUUUUGUCCCCAUGGGAUAUAAGUCACCAUAUGUCCUCUUGAUGAUCAGCAUCGAUUAUCCCUGACAGAGUGGUGACUCCUUUUAUUACCUUCUGGUUCUUUCACACAAGGAGCCAGGAAUGCCAAGGCAGCAGUCACAGUUUAUAAUUAAAUGUUAAUCUUGCUGAGUCCUCUGGCAUAAAUGUUCUCCAUUUGGAACUGAAGACCUCUGAACCUGCAAAUUCCACAGUUUUAGGGAUAAGAAUAUUUUAUAAGUGAGUGUCCGAGUUGAUGAGAAGAACUUCUUGGUUCCCAGAUUCAUCUCUUCUUGCUAUAGAAAUGCAGCAUUAUAUAAAUGUCUUUUAAUUCAAGGUAUAAAUGGUCUUGGAGAAUGACACGCUAAUCUAGUAAGUAUCACCUCUGAAUUGGUAUUUACGUUGUGUCUUUAAGAAGUUGUUUCAAUGCUCCCAGAGACCGGCAGCUUCUGAGGAGUGACCAGUCCUGCUCCUUGUUAUAAUGUAAAUCCUCUGAGACGACACAAUGUUGUAUGGAAUCCCAUACUGCUGGGUCAAACAUUCAUAAUAUUUCAAAUUGUGAGGGCUUAUGGAAUGACCUUGUUGCAGAAUUCCUGGGGCCUGAGUUAUGACUCUUCCUCUGGUUUUUUUUUAAACAAACUCCACUUGGCAUCCUUUUGCCAACACUAAUAUCUCCAAUACCAUAUGGCCUGCCAGAUCAUAUGUCCCCAGGUGGUAAUGUUUCAGGUAGACAGGUAUGAGCUAGCCAGGAGAAGGUUCUCCCUGCACCACCAGAAAUGUCAGGCAAUCAUCAGGUGAUGGUUUGGCAGUUAUAUUGCCUCUCAAAAAAUGGUAAUUUGGCAGCUGGCACCAGGGAGAGACAAUCUCCUGAUGGUCCACAGCUGUCACACUAAAGUGUUAAUUGAAUGCAGGUGCCAAGGGGAGGCAACUUCUUAAACAGAUAAAAACACUUGAGAUUGGUAAGCAGCUUCCAAUAAAAUCUCAGGAAUUGGGUGAGUGAGCGCAGGCAUGCAAAUUAAGAGACAAAAUGGCAGAGUAUGACCUUCUGGGGGCAUUCCACCAGAAAAGGGAAGAAAGCCUCAGAUGGGCAUGUGUACAACUUUCUAAACACACUGAGCAUGCUGCAUACUGCAUAUGUGGCCAGCCCUCCCUAUGGGAAGAAUCAUGGGAAAAAGGAACAAGACACUGGGAGUGGGCCAGCCUAUAAAGUCCCAGAAUCAAAGUUAAAUGCCACACUUAUCGUUCAAGUUGCCCACCUGGGUCUCUUCCACGUGUAUUUACUUUUCUUUCCUGUUGAAAAGCCUUUUUAAAUAAACUUCCACUCCUGCUCUGAAACUUUCCUUGGUGUCUUUUUCGGCCUUAUGCCGCUCAGUCGAAUUUUUUCUUCCGAGCAGGCAGGAAUUGAGGUUGCUGUAGACCCAUAUGGGUUCGCCCCCAUAACUCAAG